This 451-nucleotide ribosomal RNA is filed under the name uncultured bacterium. RNAcentral's name for it is "partial 16S ribosomal RNA". It matches the Rfam family "Bacterial small subunit ribosomal RNA", at positions 28 to 507 of the family's 1533-position model. The record is from RNAcentral.
AGCGAAUGCUGGCGGCAUGCCUAACACAUGCAAGUCGCACGGGGGGGCUUCGGCCUCCCAGUGGCGGACGGGUGAGGAACGCGUAGGGACCUGUCGAGGGGUGGGGGAUAACCGCGGGAAACUGCGGCUAAUACCGCAUGACGCCGCGGCGUGACAGCCGGGGCCAAAGGCGAAAGCCGCCCGCCGAGGGGCCUGCGUCCGAUUAGCUGGUUGGCGGGGUAGCGGCCCACCAAGGCGUCGAUCGGUAGCUGGUCUGAGAGGGUGAUCAGCCACACCGGGACUGAGACACGGCCCGGACUCCUACGGGAGGCAGCAGUGGGGAAUAUUGGACAAUGGGCGCAAGCCUGAUCCAGCAAUGCCGCGUGGGUGAAGAAGGUCUUCGGAUUGUAAAGCCCUUUCGGCGGGGACGAUGGUGACGGUACCCGCAGAAGAAGCCCCGGCUAACUUCGUG